RNAcentral lists this small nuclear RNA (20 nucleotides) under Arabidopsis thaliana (thale cress). Its description in RNAcentral is "snRNA_07218". The record is from RNAcentral. Lineage: Eukaryota; Viridiplantae; Streptophyta; Magnoliopsida; Brassicales; Brassicaceae.
UGAGCGGGGUAAAGCCAGAG